GCGCACGGGUGAGUAACACGUGAAUGAUCUACCUCCGAGUGGGGAAUAACUGAGAGAAAUCUUAGCUGAAUACCGCAUAACACUUACGAGUCAAAGCAGCAAUGCGCUUGGAGAGGAGUUCGCGGCGAUUAGCUAGUUGGCGGGGUAAUGGCCCACCAAGGCGAUGAUCGGUAUCCGGCCUGAGAGGGCGCACGGACACACUGGAACUGAAACACGGUCCAGACUCCUACGGGAGGCAGCAGUGGGGAAUUUUGCGCAAUGGGGGAAACCCUGACGCAGCAACGCCGCGUGGAGGAUGAAGCCCCUUGGGGUGUAAACUCCUUUCGAUCGGGAAGAUGAUGACGGUACCGAUAUAAGAAGCCCCGGCUAACUUCGUGCCAGCAGCCGCGGUAAUACGAGGGGGGCAAGCGUUGUUCGGAAUUAUUGGGCGUAAAGCGCUUGUAGGCGGCUUAUCAAGUCUCGUGUGAAAUCCCCAGGCUUAACCUGGGAAGUGCGCGGGAAACUGAAGAGCUUGAAUGCCGGAGAGGGUCGCGGAAUUCCCGGUGUAAGGUGAACAU
Molecule: ribosomal RNA, 557 nt
Filed under: uncultured bacterium
Lineage: Bacteria
Description: bacterial SSU rRNA
Rfam family: Bacterial small subunit ribosomal RNA
Source: RNAcentral